GAUGAAGAACGCAGCGAAAUGCGAUAAGUAAUGUGAAUUGCAGAAUUCAGUGAAUCAUCGAAUCUUUGAACGCACAUUGCGCCCCCUGGUAUUCCGGGGGGCAUGCCUGUCCGAGCGUCAUUACAACCCUCAAGCUCAGCUUGGUGUUGGGCCCCGCCGCCCCGGCGGGCCCUAAAGUCAGUGGCGGUGCCGUCCGGCUCCGAGCGUAGUAAUUCUUCUCGCUCUGGAGGUCCGGUCGUGUGCUCGCCAGCAACCCCCAAUUUUUUUCAGGUUGACCUCGGAUCAGGUAGGAUUACCCGCUGAACUUAAGCAUAUCAAUAAGCGGAGGA
Molecule: unclassified non-coding RNA, 329 nt
Filed under: soil metagenome
Description: partial contains 5.8S ribosomal RNA, internal transcribed spacer 2, and large subunit ribosomal RNA
Rfam family: 5.8S ribosomal RNA (bases 1-120)
Source: RNAcentral